RNAcentral lists this ribosomal RNA (495 nucleotides) under uncultured bacterium. RNAcentral's name for it is "bacterial SSU rRNA". It matches the Rfam family "Bacterial small subunit ribosomal RNA", at positions 989 to 1483 of the family's 1533-position model. The record is from RNAcentral.
CCCCUGACCAUCCCAGAGAUGGGAUUUUACCUUCGGGUACAGGGGACACAGGUGGUGCAUGGUUGUCGUCAGCUCGUGUCGUGAGAUGUUGGGUUAAGUCCCGCAACGAGCGCAACCCUUGCCUUUAGUUGCCAUCAUUAAGUUGGGCACUCUAGAGGGACUGCCGAUGACAAAUCGGAGGAAGGUGGGGAUGACGUCAAAUCAUCAUGCCCUUUAUGUCCUGGGCUACACACGUGCUACAAUGGUCGGUACAACGAGGAGCAACACAGCGAUGUGAAGCAAAUCUCUAAAAGCCGAUCCCAGUUCGGAUUGUAGGCUGCAACUCGCCUACAUGAAGUCGGAGUUGCUAGUAAUCGCGAAUCAGAACGUCGCGGUGAAUGCGUUCCCGGGUCUUGUACACACCGCCCGUCACACCAUGGGAGUUGGCAAUACCCGAAGCCAGUGAGCUAACCGUAAGGAGGCAGCUGUCGAAGGUAGGGUCGAUGACUGGGGUGA